CACCAUUACUUUACUCAGACUUAAGUCAUCCCCGAUGUCCACCUGUAUUACCAGCGUAUCUACGUGUGGGCUGACCACAUUAUCUAGAUCUUCCUCAGAGAAGCUUAUUCCCUCGCUUGGGUGUGAUCUUUACUUAGACUUUGGUACAGUGGUAGUCUGCAUUACCUUUCGCGAGUAACUUCUGCUUUCUCCUACUGAUCCUCCGCCGAAGAUUAAAUUUACUACUCUUCUCUUGUGGUUAGUGUCUGAGUCGGGACUUCUCGAGCGUUGGCGCUUACCCUUGUUAUUCGGG
RNAcentral lists this long non-coding RNA (292 nucleotides) under Zostera marina. RNAcentral describes it as "long non-coding RNA (ZMAR_LNC003868)". The record is from RNAcentral. Lineage: Eukaryota; Viridiplantae; Streptophyta; Magnoliopsida; Alismatales; Zosteraceae.